CAACCGCACCGUGCCUCUGCUACAAAUACUCCGGGAUAAAAACUUCAGUACUUCAAUUUCUCAUCCAUCCUUUCGUAUACUUUACCAAUUCCAUUGCCAAAAGUCCAGAGCUGGUCAGAGGGUCACAUGGACAGGGACUCAUAUGAUUGUCAUUUCCAAUAAACAUACUAGUAUCCAGCUCACUAUCCCAUCUUGCAAUAAGGAAAGAACUGGUUUCGUCACUCAUCCAACUCAGCACACAUAGCUAUAUCAGUAGCUAAUUCAUUGUUUCGUUCAAACGACAGACAACUUACAGUACAUAUCUACUUCUUCAUACCAAUCUCCCUGAGUCUAUAUUUAUUGCCAGAUAUUCGCUUCCACGCUGAUCCGGAAGAUAUCCAGCACCUCCCUAACCAGCAUCCAAUAUAACAACGCCGAAAAUGUCCUACGCCAAAGCAGUCUCCCGGGGUGCCCAACAAUCUCCUCAAGAGGUACUGCGGCACCCCAACCUCGUGAAGUUGAAGUCACCGAAGCUGAACCUGCAACAUCCUCUCUAAUCGAUGUCGACUCCCCGCACAUCUCCUCUGUUCCCCCCACCUACGAGUCUCAGCGUAUAAAAACAAACACCCAAGCCGAGCGCAUCGAGCGCGAGGGCGAGGAGAAACAGCGGCGCGAGCAAGCCGAAAGAGAAGCCAAACGCGCCGCAGCAAGAGACGCCAAGGGGAAAGCGAAAGCCGUAAAGAAUAAAGCAGCGUCCGCCAAGUUGUCCCUUCUCCGGAACAGUUCAAAUCCCGUCCUUUUGGGAAACGCGAUGUUGAUGGCUAUUGCGGGCGCCGGGUUGGGAUUUAGUGCAUAUCGCUGGCAUUCUCGGGGUGCGUUAACGUGGAAUAUACUGGGGCUGUGGUCUAGCGCAGUAGGUGCGCUUGGAUUUGUGGAUUAUUAUGUUAGCAAAUGGUUCCUGCAAAAUAAGUAUCCGCUAAAGUGAAAUGCUCGACUCUGCACCCGAUCGGAUGAUUCAUGUCUGGCUGUCAACUCGUAGCACGUAUUCUCAGCACACAUGCACGAACAUCUCCUGUUCUGUCAUUUCGAGUCUGAUUGACUUUUUUUUUGUGUUUUGGAGUUAGUUGAGACGAUUGUUUUGGAUUUUGAAUCAUUGGUUUGGUGGUUUUCAUUUGGCUCUCGCUCCUGAACAACAUCUCCUUCUUAGCAGUAGGUUGUAUCAUCCACUUCAUUGCUGUGAUAAUUCAUAGUAGCUAGUUUAGUGCUGUAGGUUACUACUUAGUCAAUCUUAAUAUCGUCAGCCAAACA
This 1287-nucleotide small RNA is filed under the name Histoplasma capsulatum var. duboisii H88. RNAcentral describes it as "Histoplasma capsulatum H88 hypothetical RNA". The record is from RNAcentral. Lineage: Eukaryota; Fungi; Ascomycota; Eurotiomycetes; Onygenales; Ajellomycetaceae.